GAAAAAAAACCUACCUAUUCUUUAUUCAUUCAUCGAAUGAUAAAUUACUACAAGUGAAGGAGAUAUACGAUU
Molecule: transfer RNA, 72 nt
Filed under: Pinus krempfii (Krempf's pine)
Lineage: Eukaryota; Viridiplantae; Streptophyta; Pinopsida; Pinales; Pinaceae
Description: tRNA-Gly
Source: RNAcentral